Molecule: small nuclear RNA, 332 nt
Filed under: Octodon degus (degu)
Lineage: Eukaryota; Metazoa; Chordata; Mammalia; Rodentia; Octodontidae
Description: 7SK RNA (ENSODEG00000024794.1)
Rfam family: 7SK RNA
About the family: 7SK was discovered as an abundant small nuclear RNA in the mid-70s but a possible function has only recently been suggested. Two independent studies have found that 7SK RNA binds the CDK9/cyclin T complex (known as elongation factor P-TEFb).
Source: Rfam by way of RNAcentral
GGGUGUGAGGGCAAUCUGGCUGUGACAUCUGUCAUCCCAAUAAUCACCAGGGCUGAUUUGGCUGAUCUGGCUGGCUGGGUGCCUCCUUCCUCCCUCAUUGCUCCACAUUCUUCCCUCCUUAAACUGCGCUCUCAGUCUAAAAGGACAACCACCCCCAAUAGAGGAGGACUGUUCCUCAGUCAAGGGUAUAGGGGUAGUUGUGCUUUCCUGCUAGAACCUCUAAACAAGCUCCCAAAAAAACAACACGAUCAGACAAGCCACACAUGGUGCAGGGAAGCUGAAGAAUGGGGAUCACAAGUUUAUGUCCAGCCUGUGCAAAUUGGCAAGACCUU